ACGGGAUCCAAGAAGUGCUUGCACUUUUUGGUGAGAGUGGCGAACGGGUGAGUAACACGUGAGUAACCUGUCCUUUUCUUUGGGAUAAGCAUCCGAAAGGGUGUUUAAUACCUUAUGUUCUGUCUGCCUCGCAUGGGGUGGGUGGGAAAGAUUUUUUCGGUAAAGGGUGGGCUCGCGGUCUAUCAGCUUGUUGGUGGGGUGAUGGCCUACCAAGGCUUUGACGGGUAGCCGGCCUGAGAGGGUGGUCGGUCACAUUGGGACUGAGAUACGGCCCAGACUCCUGCGGGAGGCAGCAGUGGGGGAUAUUGCACAAUGGGCGAAAGCCUGAUGCAGCGACGCCGCGUGGGGGAUGAAGGCCUUCGGGUUGUAAACUUCUUUUGCUCUGAACAAGGCGCACCGUGGGGUGUGUUGAGUGUAGGGGUUGAUUAGCGCCGGCUAACUACGUGCCAGCAGCCGCGGUAAUACGUAGGGCGCGAGCGUUGUCCGGAAUUAUUGGGCGUAAAGGGCUUGUAGGUGGCUGGUUGCGUCUGUCGUGAAAGCUCAUGGCUUAACUGUGGGUUUGCGGUGGGUACGGGCUGGCUUGAGUGCAGUAGGGGAGGCUGGAAUUCCUGGUGUAGCGGUGGAAUGCGCAGAUAUCAGGAGGAUACCGGUGCGAAGGCGGGUCUCUGGGCUGUUACUGAC
This 681-nucleotide ribosomal RNA is filed under the name uncultured Actinomycetes bacterium. Its description in RNAcentral is "bacterial SSU rRNA". It matches the Rfam family "Bacterial small subunit ribosomal RNA", at positions 66 to 744 of the family's 1533-position model. Lineage: Bacteria; Bacillati; Actinomycetota; Actinomycetes. The record is from RNAcentral.